AUCAGGCUCUAUGCUAACCACUUGGGUCUUGAUCUCACUGAUGGUGAGAUCAUUACCUGAGCCAAAAUCAAGAGUCAGACCUUAACCAACUGAACCACCCAGGUGCCCCUAGAGUGGGAGACUUUUUGUUCGUUGUUCACUGUUUGUAUCUGUUCCAGCUUCCUUUCAGCUGAGGCAUGAUACUCUGCCAUCCUUCUAAAAUUUCUUUGCAGCUCUCAAAUGCAAGAACCACUUGGCCACAACAGUAGGGCCUUGAAUGUGGAGCUUUCCCAAGGGAGUUGGCUCUAAAUUAACAUUUCAUGACACGUACAGAGUUACUCUGCUCCUCCUGUGUGAUGAGUUGCCCUGAAUCCAGGAGAGGUGGCACAUUAAUAAGAGGCAGGAAAGGGUGAUAGUGAUCUAGGGGGGCCUCAGAUCAGAUCAUGAGUAAUGGUCUCUGUUCUGAUGUACCGUAGUCUCCCCUUAUCUGCAGUUUUGCUUUUCAUGGUUUCUCUUACGUGCAGUCAACUGGGGCGUGGACGCAGAUGAUCCUUUUCCUGAUGUUAGAAGGUCAGUAGUAGCCUAACGCUACAUCACUGUGCCUCAGUCACUCACCCUACUUCAUCUCAUCAUGUAGGCAUUUUAUCAUCUCACAUCGUCACAAGAAAGGUGCCUAUUGGAAUUUAUAUUCAUCCACCUUUUUUUAAUGUAAGGAGGGAAAAUGACUGCUGGUUCAGUGUGUGUCCCUCAGAUCAUACCACUGCGAGUGCCUCCACCUGGAAAAGCCAACCAUGAAAUUGAUAACAAUACACUUUUAGAAAUGAAAUCAGACACCCCAGAUGUCAACAUAUAUUAUACGCUGGAUGGCAGCAAACCUGAAUUUCUGAAGAGAAUCGGUUAUCGUGAAAACAAUACAUUUAAGUAUACGAAGCCUAUUACUCUGCCUGAUGGAAAAAUACAAGUUAAAGCUAUUGCAGUCUCUAAGGACUGCAGACAGAGUGGCAUUGUAACAAAGGUGUUUCAGGUGGGCUAUGAGCCACCAAAUACAGUGUCUUCUGAAGACAAUGUUGAAAAUAUUCUCAAAGAUUCUUCAAAGCAGGAAUUGAAAAAUGGGUUUGUUGGGUCAAAACUACGGAAUAAAUGUAAGAAUGCUGAAAAUAAACAGGGUUGGAAUGUUAAUCUUAGAAAGCCUCCAAGUAUGACAUGGCAGGACGAAGACCUUGAGGUAGGUGAAAGAACUGACUCUAAAACAUGGAAAGAUCUUCGUUUCUCAGAGAGUCCACUGGAAAUCCCACCUUACCAUGAAGAAUCAGGUUCUAGACCACCCACCCGCCAGUCUCAGUUCCCUAGUUUUGCACACAUAACUGGCCGGAAGAGUUUGACAAGCACAGAGAUCAUGAGAAUUCAAAGACAGACAGACUUUCUCAAGUGUGCCCACUGCCUGGCCCCCCGCCCAUCUGACCCCUUUGCUCGCUUCUGUCAAGAAUGUGGCUCUCCUGUCCCGCCCAUAUUUGGCUGUCGUCUCCCACCCCCAGAAGGAGCUCAGAUGGGCUUAUGUGCAGAGUGUGGAAACAUGGUGCCCAUGAACACUCCCAUCUGUGUGGUGUGUGAGGCCUCUCUUACUCUACAGCUGCAGCCAAAGGCCAGCCUCCGCUUGAAGGAGAAAAUAAUCUGCCGCACCUGUGGCACAGGGAAUCCAGCUCACCUGAAAUACUGUGUCACCUGUGAGGGGGCCCUGCUGUCAUCACAGGAGAGGGGGAUUGCAGAAUCUAAUAUUGAUCUGCCUAUUGAUAAAUGCCAUUGCAUUCAGCAGCCCAUGCGCAGUGAAGAUAAAGCCCCUCCUCCCCCCACUCAGAAAGGGGAGACCAUUUCCUGCUCCAAGUGUGGUCGCAGGAAUCGCCUGGAAGCUUGCUUCUGUGACUGGUGUGGAGCCACGCCAGGCAUUUCUGCCUGCUACUCUGUUUGCCCCAAAUGUGGGGCCAGCAAUCACCCAUCUGCCCGAUUCUGUGGUUCCUGUGGUAUUUAUGUGAAGUCCUUGGCAAGACUUAGCAUGGAUAACAACCUGGCUCUUGCUGCUGGAGAACUUCGCCCUUUUGCUGAGCCCCGAUCUGCCUGGCAGUCCCUAAAUGUUCCUUUGCUCAGACCUGAGGCUGGGACUCGGAAGGACGUGGGCACACAGACUACUGGCCUGUUCUACCCAUCUGGUGCACUACUGGCCAAAAAGGAACUGGAAAUGGCUUCUCAAAAGCAGAGGCAGGAGAAAAUGAGUGACCAUAAACCUCUCCUCACAGCUGUCAGCCCAGGAAGAGGGUACUGGAGAAAACAGUUGGAUCAUAUCUCUGCUCACCUCAGGUCUUAUGCUCAGAACAACCCUGAGUUCAGGGCUUUGAUUGCAGAACCCAGAAUGGGAAAGCUUAUCUCUGCUACUGUCCAUGAAGAUGGCUAUGAAGUUAGCAUCCAGCUGAAUUACAUUCAAGUAUCAAACAAGGUGAGGAACCUGAGGUUCAGAGAAAUUAAGCAACUUGCUUCUUCCAAGGUCCCUAAACUAAACCUUUACCUCAGCAAGGCUGUGGAUUUCAGCAGCCACUUCCUGAGCAGUGUCACUGAGGGUGGUAAUGGGCCAUUUGGCAGCAGGUCCAGCCUGGUGAGCAACUACAGCCAGAGCACCUCCGAUACCACUGAAAACGUCAAGAGGACAAAGAAUUUCAAGACCAAAACAUUCCAAGAAAAGGAGCAGCUCACACCUGAAAACAGGCUCUUGCUGAAGGAAGUGGGACCGACAGGGGAAGGAAGAGUCUCUGUGAUUGAACAGCUGCUCGAUGAGGGAGCAGAUCCCAACUGCAGGGACAGUGAGGAGCGACCCCUUAUAACCAUGGCUGUUGUGAAUAAGCACCAUGAAGCAAUUCCGGUUCUUGUGCAGAGAGGAGCAGACACCGAGCAGCGGUGGGGACCGCUCCGAAAUACAGCUCUUCAUGAAGCGACCCUCCUUGGCCUGGCGGGAAGGGAGUGCGUCGCUGCUUUACUGCGAUGCAAUGCAGGCAUCCAAAAGAAGAACACGAAUGGCCAGACAGCAUAUGACCUGGCUCUGAAAACUGGGGAUGAGGUCAUCACCUCACUCUUUGCUGCUAAGCUCGGCCUGGAUGACUCUUAGACCCAAGAGCCUGCGCGGGACCUGAUUUCAAGAAACCAUCCAGCUCUAGCUGUUCUUUGUUUCUUUCUGAGAUGUGUUAUUUGUGGUUUGGAAAUUGAGGUUGAGAGGAACGCAUAAGAUUUUUUUUUUUUUUUUAAUAUGACAGUGUAAGCCACCAUGUGGGCAUUUCCCAAUAUGCUCUGGAUGGUGACGAAUUUAACAUAUGUUUUUUAAAGGGUCUGUUGCUGCUUAUUUUGGAAUUUUCUUUAAAAUUUAUUUUUCAAUAGAUAAUUGCACAUGGUUCAAAGCUAAACAGUUUGAAGUGUUAAGUAGUAAAAACUCUGCUAUCCCUGUCCCACAGCCACCCACGUCCCCUCCUCAGAGGCUCCAAUGAUACCAGUGUCAUCUGCGUCUUUCCAGAAAUAGUAGAGGAUUAUAUAAGCACAUGUGCGUAAUAUAUGCAUAUGUACAUAUAGGGUAUGUAUAAAAUACAAAUACAGAGAACAGAUAUAUUCUUUCUCCUCUUUUAAGACAAGUACUAGCAAACUACACACCCGUCUGAUGUUUUACAUCUUGUUCUAUUCCUUAAUAUCUCUUGUAGGUGGUUCCAAAUUAGUACAUUAAGAUUAACUUUAUCUAAAGACUUUCAUUUCUAAUGUGAAAUAUUCCUAUUGUUGUGGUUUGUUCUCCGGUUGACAAACAAGCUUUGAAUAAGCCCAUGUGCAGGAAUGUGCAAUUUUGACUCACUCAUUUUUUCAGACUGUUAUUUCAGUCUUUGGGUGAUAACGCUGCAAUCGUGGAGUACCUAAAUAGUUCCUGUUAAACUAUGUUGACAGAGUAUCUGUUAGUUUAGAAUGAGUAAUUCAGCACAAUAAAUAAUAGACCUGGUUGAGUGGUUGCUGUUAUCACUACCUGCACUUCCUUUCCCGAGAUGGUGACUGCGGGAGGACAGGCGCAGAGUCUCUGGGAGCGAAGCCCCCGCAUGGGGUUUGGGGGCACCAGCACUGGCUCUCCCCUGUCCGACUCGGCCGGCCGUCUUUGCUGUGGGGGCCACUGCAAGGUCUUUCAACUGAAUCAGGCCAACCCAGACCUGCUAGGAUGAUCUCCCUUUCUUCAAGUCAGCUGACCAUGAACUUUAAUCACACUGCAAAUACCUUCCCAGCAACACCUGAAUUAGCGCAUGAGUGAGGGCUGGAGCUCAGGCAAGUCGACACAUUAAAAGA
RNA transcript from Prionailurus viverrinus (fishing cat), 4332 nucleotides. It is a transcript of the gene named double zinc ribbon and ankyrin repeat domains 1, with no coding region annotated. NCBI's taxonomy places the organism in Eukaryota, Metazoa, Chordata, Mammalia, Carnivora, Felidae. The record is from RefSeq and is a predicted model, not a curated record. The transcript is spliced from 23 exons.